This 1108-nucleotide long non-coding RNA is filed under the name Medicago truncatula (barrel medic). RNAcentral's name for it is "long non-coding RNA (MTRU_LNC006631)". Lineage: Eukaryota; Viridiplantae; Streptophyta; Magnoliopsida; Fabales; Fabaceae. The record is from RNAcentral.
AAACCCUUUUUAGGUUAACUAAAAGUAAAAUCAAUCAAAAUAUUCAUCAAACUACAUGAAAUCAAUCAAACUUCAUCAAAAAAUUCUAUGCAAACGGGUGGAAUUAAGCCGCUUUCAAGAGAGCCAUACUUUCAUGUGGUCCUUUCAAAAACACACCUUAGUCCCCGUUAUGGAAUGGUAAUUUCAUACUUGGUUUCACAAAAGGAAGAAAUUAAAGCAUAUAGUAUCACACUUUGUGCAGAACAAUACUAUCAUUUUCUUUGUUGAUGGGUCACUUUGUCCAACUAAUUAUUACAUCUAUUGUUUGAUAUUUUUUUCUCAUUUGUAUCAUUUUCGGUGGCUUCUAACAAGUUAGAUCUUAUAUUAAGAUGACAGAUUUGUGGCCACUGAUUUUAGCACCUUCCGUUUCAUGCUUUGAAAGAUAUUGGAUUGUUGUUUCAGAAAGAUCCAUAUGUCUGUAUCAUAGAAAUCUUCAGCAAAUUUUAGUAUACAAGACAUUUUCGUGUUUGUGGAGGUUCAUAUCCCUUUGUAAUUGUUGUGCUUAUAUAUUCAAGGAAAUCAGAAACAUAAUCUGUUAUAGAUGAAACUAAAUUCUGUUACAUUCUAAUAUGAAACUAUAUUUUGUUAUCCUCUGUUUUGAUGAAGAUGUUGAUUGAUUUUACUUUUAGUUAAGUUAAAGGGGUUUUUCAAAGAAAUUUUUGUUGAAUUUCUAGUGUAGUGAUGUUGAUGUUUGUUGAUAAAUUUAUGGGUUUUUAUGAACUUUGAUGAAGAUGUGUUGAAGAUGAUGAAGAAGAGGAAAGGAAGGAAGAAGAUGAAGUUUUCUAUGAAUUUUUGGGAUUGGUCCCUCUGCAAAUUUUGUUUUUUGAUUUUGGUCCCUCUAAUUUUGUGACUCAGCAUAUGGAAUGAUACAUCAGCGAUAUCUGCCACGUCACACGUCGCCAUGUCAUCCUCCGUUUGCCACAUAGACGUUUUUGUAACAGAUUAUGACGGCAGGGACUAAAACCAAAAUGCUUAUAACUUACAGGGGUUGUUUUAGAAUAAAAAAAGAUACAGGGACUAAAACCAAAAACACGCGAACUUACAGGGACCAUUUACAUAUUUAAGCCUA